Molecule: ribosomal RNA, 287 nt
Filed under: uncultured bacterium
Lineage: Bacteria
Description: partial 16S ribosomal RNA
Rfam family: Bacterial small subunit ribosomal RNA
Source: RNAcentral
CAAGUCGAACGGAAACGAUGUUAGCUUGCUAACAGGCGUCGAGUGGCGGACGGGUGAGUAACGCGUAUAGAACCUACCUUUUACAGAGGGAUAGCCCAGAGAAAUUUGGAUUAAUACCUCAUAGUAUUAUAGAUUGGCAUCGAUUUAUAAUUAAACAUUUAUGGGUAAGAGAUGGCUAUGCGUCCUAUUAGUUAGUUGGUAAGGUAACGGCUUACCAAGACAGUGAUAGGUAGGGGUCCUGAGAGGGGGACCCCCACACACUGGUACUGAGACACGGACCAGACUCC